GAUGAACGCUGGCGGCGUGCCUAAUACAUGCAAGUCGAGCGAACAGACGAGGAGCUUGCUCCUCUGACGUUAGCGGCGGACGGGUGAGUAACACGUGGAUAACCUACCUAUAAGACUGGGAUAACUUCGGGAAACCGGAGCUAAUACCGGAUAAUAUAUUGAACCGCAUGGUUCAAUAGUGAAAGACGGUUUUGCUGUCACUUAUAGAUGGAUCCGCUCCGCAUUAGCUAGUUGGUAAGGUAACGGCUUACCAAGGCAACGAUGCGUAGCCGACCUGAGAGGGUGAUCCGCCACACUGGAACUGAGACACGGUCCAGACUCCUACGGGAGGCAGCAGUAGGGAAUCUUCCGCAAUGGGCGAAAGCCUGACGGAGCAACGCCGCGUGAGUGAUGAAGGUCUUCGGAUCGUAAAACUCUGUUAUUAGGGAAGAACAAAUGUGUAAGUAACUAUGCACGUCUUGACGGUACCUAAUCAGAAAGCCACGGCUAACUACGUG
RNAcentral lists this ribosomal RNA (497 nucleotides) under uncultured bacterium. RNAcentral describes it as "partial 16S ribosomal RNA". It matches the Rfam family "Bacterial small subunit ribosomal RNA", at positions 28 to 507 of the family's 1533-position model. The record is from RNAcentral.